Molecule: small nucleolar RNA, 81 nt
Filed under: Leptobrachium leishanense (Leishan spiny toad)
Lineage: Eukaryota; Metazoa; Chordata; Amphibia; Anura; Megophryidae
Description: Small nucleolar RNA SNORD121A (ENSLLEG00000000615.1)
Rfam family: Small nucleolar RNA SNORD121A
Source: Rfam by way of RNAcentral
UUUGUAAAGACAAUGAUGUAUUUUCCAAGCACGUAUCCGAGCCCUCUGUGCGGACAUCCACAACCACUGAGUCUUUACAGC